This 18-nucleotide small nuclear RNA is filed under the name Arabidopsis thaliana (thale cress). RNAcentral describes it as "snRNA_07734". The record is from RNAcentral. Lineage: Eukaryota; Viridiplantae; Streptophyta; Magnoliopsida; Brassicales; Brassicaceae.
UAAGCAUAUCAAUAAGCG